GUAGUGGCUCAGUGGUAGAGUGCUGGAUUGGCACACAUGAGGACUGGGUUCAAUCCUCAGCACAACA
RNAcentral lists this transfer RNA (67 nucleotides) under Marmota monax (woodchuck). RNAcentral describes it as "tRNA.Ala". Lineage: Eukaryota; Metazoa; Chordata; Mammalia; Rodentia; Sciuridae. The record is from RNAcentral.